UACGUAGGGUCCAAGCGUUAAUCGGAAUUACUGGGCGUAAAGCGUGCGCAGGCGGUUCGUUAAGUCAGCUGUGAAAUCCCCGGGCUUAACCUGGGAAUGGCAUUUGGGACUGCAAGGCUGGAGUGCGGCAGAGGAGACUGGAAUUCCUGGUGUAGCGGUGAAAUGCGCAGAUAUCAGGAGGAACACCGGUGGCGAAGGGCGGG
Molecule: ribosomal RNA, 203 nt
Filed under: uncultured bacterium
Lineage: Bacteria
Description: partial 16S ribosomal RNA
Rfam family: Bacterial small subunit ribosomal RNA
Source: RNAcentral